This 452-nucleotide ribosomal RNA is filed under the name uncultured bacterium. RNAcentral's name for it is "bacterial SSU rRNA". It matches the Rfam family "Bacterial small subunit ribosomal RNA", at positions 29 to 524 of the family's 1533-position model. The record is from RNAcentral.
AACGAACGCUGGCGGCAGGCUUAACACAUGCAAGUCGAACGGUUGUAGCAAUACAGCAGUGGCAGACGGGUGAGUAACACGUGGGAACUUUCCUAGGGGUACGGAACAACUCAGGGAAACUUGAGCUAAUACCGUAUACGUCCGUGAGGAGAAAGAUUUAUCGCCCUUAGACGGGCCCGCGUCGGAUUAGCUAGUUGGUGGGGUAACGGCCUACCAAGGCGACGAUCCGUAGCUGAUCUUAGAGGAUGAUCAGCCACACUGGGACUGAGACACGGCCCAGACUCCUACGGGAGGCAGCAGUGGGGAAUCUUGGACAAUGGGCGCAAGCCUGAUCCAGCCAUGCCGCGUGAGUGAAGAAGGUCUUCGGAUUGUAAAGCUCUUUUGCCAGGGACGAUAAUGACGGUACCUGGAGAAUAAGCCCCGGCAAACUUCGUGCCAGCAGCCGCGGUAAU